UGACAUUCCGGGUGGCCUCGAAAGAAAGCGUGUGAGCAGCUACGGCACGGGAGUACCUGUGCUGUGGCGAGAAUGAAGCCGGCCGAGACCGCGAGGUCUUCGGUCAAGCGACAAAGCAGGCAAGCCACUUCUGGCGAAAGAAAUUUCAAGUGAAGGGUUUGAUCCUGGCUCAGAACGAACGUUGGCGGCGUGGAUGAGGCAUGCAAGUCGAACGUGAAAGCCGCAAGGUGAGUAGCGUGGCGGACGGGCGAGUAACACGUAAUCAAGCUGCCUGCGAGACGGGGAUAACCUCGGGAAACCGAGGCUAAGACCCGAUGGUCUUUCUGCUUCGCAUGGAGUGGAAAGUAAAUGGGCGGGAUCCUUUGGACCGCCUGCUCGCAGAGGUGAUUGCGGUCCAUCAGCUAGUUGGUAGGGUAAUGGCCUACCAAGGCGACGACGGGUAGCCGGCCUUAGAGGGUGGUCGGCGCACUGGGACUGAGACACUGCCCAGACUCCUACGGGAGGCUGCAGUCGAGAA
This 517-nucleotide ribosomal RNA is filed under the name uncultured bacterium. Its description in RNAcentral is "bacterial SSU rRNA". The stretch from base 147 to 517 matches the Rfam family "Bacterial small subunit ribosomal RNA", at positions 1 to 361 of the family's 1533-position model. The record is from RNAcentral.